AACGCGAAGAACCUUACCUAGGCUUGACAUGCAGUAGACAGCUCCAGAAAUGGGGUCUUCCUUCGGGACUGCUGCACAGGUGCUGCAUGGCUGUCGUCAGCUCGUGCCGUGAGGUGUUGGGUUAAGUCCCGCAACGAGCGCAACCCUUGUCAUUAGUUGCCAACAUUUAAGGUGGGAACUCUAAUGAGACUGCCUGGGUUAACCAGGAGGAAGGUGAGGAUGACGUCAAGUCCGCAUGGCCCUUAUGCCUAGGGCUACACACGUGCUACAAUGGGCGGUACAAUAGGAAGCGAAAUCGUGAGGUGAAGCAAAUCCUCUAAAACCGCCCCCAGUUCGGAUUGUAGUCUGCAACUCGACUACAUGAAGCCGGAAUUGCUAGUAAUGGCGUGUCAGCAACAACGCCGUGAAUACGUUCCCGGGUCUUGUACACACCG
This 434-nucleotide ribosomal RNA is filed under the name uncultured bacterium. Its description in RNAcentral is "bacterial SSU rRNA". It matches the Rfam family "Bacterial small subunit ribosomal RNA", at positions 958 to 1392 of the family's 1533-position model. The record is from RNAcentral.